Anopheles merus is the source of this 224-nucleotide long non-coding RNA. RefSeq lists it as uncharacterized. Lineage: Eukaryota; Metazoa; Arthropoda; Insecta; Diptera; Culicidae. The record is from RefSeq and is a predicted model, not a curated record. The transcript has 2 exons.
ACUAUCAAUGCCAAAAAGAAACACAAGUUAGAAAAAGGAAGAGAAGGAAAGAAAGAAACCAACCCAACUACCACCAAGAAGCUAAUAAACAUUCUCCCAGGUUGAACGGGACAACACCGUGGGAGGCGAAAAGAGGGCGAAAAGGAACGGAUAGGGCGCGAUAACAACGUAACAACAAUAUGUAUUUCGUACUUCAUUAGCCUCUUCGAACCGGGAAGAACACA